RNAcentral lists this ribosomal RNA (223 nucleotides) under uncultured bacterium. RNAcentral describes it as "partial 16S ribosomal RNA". It matches the Rfam family "Bacterial small subunit ribosomal RNA", at positions 524 to 747 of the family's 1533-position model. The record is from RNAcentral.
GACGGGGGGGGCAAGUGUUCUUCGGAAUGACUGGGCGUAAAGGGCACGUAGGCGGUGAAUCGGGUUGAAAGUGAAAGUCGCCAAAAAGUGGCGGAAUGCUCUCGAAACCAAUUCACUUGAGUGAAACAGAGGAGAGUGGAAUUUCGUGUGUAGGGGUGAAAUCCGUAAAUAUACGAAGGAACGCCAAAAGCGAAGGCAGCUCUCUGGGUCCCUACCGACGGCU